AUUGAACGCUGGCGGCAGGCCUAACACAUGCAAGUCGAGCGGCAGCGGAAAGUAGCUUGCUACUCUGCCGGCGAGCGGCGGACGGGUGAGUAAUGUCUGGGGAUCUGCCUGAUGGAGGGGGAUAACUACUGGAAACGGUAGCUAAUACCGCAUAACGUCGCAAGACCAAAGCGGGGGACCUUCGAGCCUCACGCCAUCGGAUGAACCCAGAUGGGAUUAGCUAGUAGGUGGGGUAAUGGCUCACCUAGGCGACGAUCCCUAGCUGGUCUGAGAGGAUGACUAGCCACACUGGGACUGAGACACGGCCCAGACUCCUACGGGAGGCAGCAGUGGGGAAUAUUGCACAAUGGGCGCAAGCCUGAUGCAGCCAUGCCGCGUGUGUGAAGAAGGCCUUCGGGUUGUAAAGCACUUUCAGCGAGGAGGAAGGGUGGUGUGUUAAUAGCACACGACAUUGACGUUACUCGCAGAAGAAGCACCGGCUAACUCCGUGCCAGCAGCCGCCGUAA
RNAcentral lists this ribosomal RNA (506 nucleotides) under uncultured bacterium. RNAcentral describes it as "partial 16S ribosomal RNA". It matches the Rfam family "Bacterial small subunit ribosomal RNA", at positions 29 to 523 of the family's 1533-position model. The record is from RNAcentral.